GUUCUGGCUAAUGGGACGGAGCUCUGGUAAGUCAUGAGUUAAAUCUCUAAAUGUUUUUGAGACCGGAGACUUUUGGUUACAAGUUAUGUUUCUCUGGGUGGUUCUGAGACCGGGGAUUUCUGGUUACAAGUUAUGUUUCUCUGGGUGGUUCUGAGACCGGGGAUUUCUGGUUACAAGUUAUGUCUUAGUUUGUAAACUAAAUAAAAGACCACAGCUUUUUUAUCCAUAUUCUGUCCAUAUUCUUAUCCAUAUUUAUCCAUAUUCUGUCUGUUUGUUGUAUUCAUAUAUGUGUAAAUACUGAUAUGUUCUGUUGCUUUACUUAUUUGGGUGUUAGAAUUAACCCCUGCAGUGCACAUGCAUUUUUUUAUGUAAUGAAAGAACACGGAGCUGUUUCCCCACCAUGGAACACAGGCAGCAAACUGUAAAAUCUUUAUUAUUGUUUUGCAGAUACAAAGACACGCAGAAUAAAGCUUUCAUGCAUGGAGUGUUCAUUCUUUGUACUGUUCCACAUACAGCCUGCUCAUGUGCAGAGAAAAGACGAACCCCUCCCAUGCUACACGGGUGACUCAGAGCACAGUCUGCAGCAACUUUAUCUGUAGUGUGACAGCCCCAGUCCGGGACAAUGCACUCGUUGGGAAUAUCUGGGGAAACCAGAAGAAAUAAAACCUGCUUUUAAAGGCACGAACAAUCUG
Pelobates cultripes (western spadefoot toad) is the source of this 692-nucleotide non-coding RNA. The record is from the annotation of a GenBank genome assembly. NCBI's taxonomy places the organism in Eukaryota, Metazoa, Chordata, Amphibia, Anura, Pelobatidae.